AUCCCCCGAAUGGGCCUUCUGAACCCCUCUGCCUGGGAAUCCCACUAUUGCUCUUGCUAACCUUUUCAUUUUUUAUCCUAAUUAGGAUUAGAGUAAUGUUUAGGCUAUUGAGUUCUUUAAAAAUUCUUGAUAAUUAGAGGUUAGGGUGAUGUAGAUUUAAUUAAAAUUUUAGGAUCAAUUAGAAAUUAGGAUUAAUGUGUAGUUAGUUAGGUUCAUUAGUUGUGUUUAGGUUAAUGUAAUUGUUGAACCCGAACAUAGAGUGCAAAAUUCAGAAAUAGGGAUUUUGGGCCCAACAAAAUGAGCCCAAAUAUAAAUAAAUAUAGUUGGGUUCAACAAGCAUGUUGUUGAGCAAAACAGGGGUGUGGAGAGCAAAAUAUUAGGCUUAAUGGCUAAGCUCAACCGAAUUUGCAAAGGAAAUGAGAGAAAAAUUCAGAAACAAUAAUUCAUCAUCUCUACACACCAAAUUCAAUUUUUCAUGUCAAAAGAGAACCACCACUGGAGCUCCGGCACCACUGCGUCGGAGUUGGCCAAAAUCCAGAAAAAGUAUUAUCUUCCUACUCCUCUCAACCUCUUAUAUCCUAAUCUAUCAUAUAUUUUAACCACAAGUUAAUCAAUUCUGGAAAUUGAGCCAUUAAAGAAUCCUAAGCAUAAAAUCUAAAAUUAAAUGGGGAUGAAGGAGAAUCAAACCACCAAAACUUGGGGGUUUUAUUCCCCAGUACACAAGCUAUAUUGUGGUAUCAAAAAUUCAGCAAAUAAGCAAGGAUGAAAAUUCACCGACCUGCAAGAACGAAGUUUUGUUCUUGGAAUUUUAGUGUUGGAGAUGAAGAAGAUAAAGUAAAAACCAGAGGAAUAAUGUUGAAUGCAAGAGGUUUAGCUCAAUUGAUAACAAAAUUCAAUGUGAAGCUUGCUCCAAUGGUGAUUUCAGUUUUGGUGUAGGGAGAAGAAUUGGGGAAGAUGAAGUGAGAGGAGAAAAGUUGAACUUGCAAUGAGUAAUUUGAGAGUGAUGAUCAAGUUCUGAUAUUUUUUUGGCUAUGGGAGUGAUGUGUUUAUAUAAGUUAUAGGUUUGGAUCAAAUGGACGUUAGGAGUUAGUUUUCUGAGGCUUGAAAUUGGUUAAAUGAGGCUUGGAGUUAGUUGAAGUGGUUUAGAAUUAGUUUGAAGUGGUUUGGAGUUAACUUGGGACUGUUAUGAGUGAUUCACAAAUGUUGAGAAGUUUGGUGAAUUGAAGUGUUAGGAGCUUGGUUCAAUGCAUGAGUGAUAUGGUUGGUUGCUACAUAAUUAUGUAAAGGUUAUACUGUGCAUUGAUGCAAACAUUGGAACUGGUUUGGAGUGCAAAGGAAAUUGCCUUACUGCUGAAAAAAUGCAGCAUUUUGGCUAUUGUCCCAGGUGUAAUCAAUUAUCCUAGAUAUGGUAAUCGAUUAUCAUCAUGAAAAAAUUGGUUUUCUUGGCUAUUGGAAGCAGUGUAAUCGAUUACCCAAACAUGGUAAUCAAUUACCAUCAUGAAAAAUGGUUUUUUUGGCUACUGGAAGUAGGGUAAUCGAUUACUCAAACAUGGUAAUCGAUUACCAUCAGGAAAAAAUGGUUUUUCCUUAGUUUUGAUGCAUGGGCUCAUGUGUGAGGCAUAAUGGCUUGGCUUUCUUUCUUGUUCAAUAUGAAAUCAACUUAAAACAAAAGCUUUCAGUGCA
This is a long non-coding RNA of Lathyrus oleraceus (garden pea), 1683 nucleotides long. RefSeq lists it as uncharacterized. The transcript has 2 exons. The record is from RefSeq and is a predicted model, not a curated record. Lineage: Eukaryota; Viridiplantae; Streptophyta; Magnoliopsida; Fabales; Fabaceae.